AAUGACUCCCUUGGUUCACCUUUACCCGUGAAAUCCACGAAAAUUUGUAUCCAAUGAAUAAAAAUGAAUUCACAGUACUAUAAAUAUUUUUUAUGAUAAGAAAUUUAUGUGUUGUGAUAUAAAGGGUGUGCUUUGUUUUAACAUUCCAGUAAUUUUAGUUGUAUUAUGUGAUAUUGUUGUAUAUCAUUGUACAAAGAGAUGUUGUGGUUAUUGUGUUUAUUAAACAAAUCCCUCCGUUAUUCUACUUCAUUAACAAUUUGCUAUAGUUCAGUUUUUUUUUGCAAACACUUUCAUCUUUUACAAAACGUUUUGAUCAACCCAAGUUUCAAACAUUUCAUAUACAUGUUGUGGAGUUUCUUUUGAAAACUUUUUCAUCUUUUUCAAACUGUUUUAGCUAACCCAAAUUUCAAACAUUUGCUAUAAUUAUGUUUAUUCUGCAAACAUGUUCAUCUCUGACAAACUGUUUUUAAGUUAUUUCAAGUUUCAAACUUGAAUUAUAUUAUAUAUGCC
RNAcentral lists this long non-coding RNA (510 nucleotides) under Mytilus galloprovincialis (Mediterranean mussel). The record is from RNAcentral. Lineage: Eukaryota; Metazoa; Mollusca; Bivalvia; Mytilida; Mytilidae.